UACGUAGGGGGCUAGCGUUGUCCGGAAUCAUUGGGCGUAAAGAGCGUGUAGGCGGCCCGGUAAGUCCGCUGUGAAAGUCGGGGGCUCAACCCUCGAAUGCCGGUGGAUACUGUCGGGCUAGAGUGCGGAAGAGGCGAGUGGAAUUCCUGGUGUAGCGGUGAAAUGCGCAGAUAUCAUUAGGAACUCCGGUGGCGAAGGCGGCUCGCUGGACCUUUUCUGACGCUGAUGCGCGAAAGCUAGGGGAGCAAACAGG
Molecule: ribosomal RNA, 253 nt
Filed under: uncultured bacterium
Lineage: Bacteria
Description: partial 16S ribosomal RNA
Rfam family: Bacterial small subunit ribosomal RNA
Source: RNAcentral